Molecule: ribosomal RNA, 387 nt
Filed under: uncultured bacterium
Lineage: Bacteria
Description: bacterial SSU rRNA
Rfam family: Bacterial small subunit ribosomal RNA
Source: RNAcentral
AUUGAACGCUGGCGGCAUGCCUUACACAUGCAAGUCGAACGGCAGCGGACCUUCGGGUGCCGGCGAGUGGCGAACGGGUGAGUAAUAUAUCGGAACGUACCUUUCAGUGGGGGAUAACGUAGCGAAAGUUACGCUAAUACCGCAUAUUCUGUGAGCAGGAAAGCAGGGGAUCGCAAGACCUUGCGCUGAUUGAGCGGCCGAUAUCAGAUUAGCUAGUUGGUGAGGUAAAGGCUCACCAAGGCGACGAUCUGUAGCGGGUCUGAGAGGAUGAUCCGCCACACUGGAACUGAGACACGGUCCAGACUCCUACGGGAGGCAGCAGUGGGGAAUUUUGGACAAUGGGCGCAAGCCCGAUCCAGCCAUGCCGCGUGAGUGAAGAAGGCCUGG